CUUGGAUGUUUGACAUCCCUCUGAAGGAUUUCGGUCCUCACCUCUUUAUAUAUAUAUAUAUUCCUUCUCUUUGAAC
Octopus sinensis (East Asian common octopus) is the source of this 76-nucleotide long non-coding RNA. RefSeq lists it as uncharacterized. The transcript is spliced from 3 exons. The record is from RefSeq and is a predicted model, not a curated record. NCBI's taxonomy places the organism in Eukaryota, Metazoa, Mollusca, Cephalopoda, Octopoda, Octopodidae.